RNAcentral lists this unclassified non-coding RNA (337 nucleotides) under soil metagenome. RNAcentral describes it as "partial contains 5.8S ribosomal RNA, internal transcribed spacer 2, and large subunit ribosomal RNA". The stretch from base 1 to 120 matches the Rfam family "5.8S ribosomal RNA", at positions 35 to 154 of the family's 154-position model. The record is from RNAcentral.
GAUGAAGAAUGCAGCGAAAUGCGAUAAGUAAUGUGAAUUGCAGAAUUCAGUGAAUCAUCGAAUCUUUGAACGCACAUUGCGCCCGCCAGUAUUCUGGCGGGCAUGCCUGUUCGAGCGUCAUUUCAACCAUCAAGCCCCCGGGCUUGUGUUGGGGACCUGCGGCUGCCGCAGGCCCUGAAAAGCAGUGGCGGGCUCGCUGUCACACCGAGCGUAGUAGAUUUUAUCUCGCUCUGGGCGUGCUGCGGGUUCCGGCCGUUAAACCACCCUUUUAACCCAAGGUUGACCUCGGAUCAGGUAGGAAGACCCGCUGAACUUAAGCAUAUCAAUAAGCGGAGGA